GGCCUGCUGGUGAAGAUUGUAU
RNAcentral lists this non-coding RNA (22 nucleotides) under Arabidopsis thaliana (thale cress). Lineage: Eukaryota; Viridiplantae; Streptophyta; Magnoliopsida; Brassicales; Brassicaceae. The record is from RNAcentral.